RNAcentral lists this ribosomal RNA (246 nucleotides) under uncultured bacterium. Its description in RNAcentral is "partial 16S ribosomal RNA". It matches the Rfam family "Bacterial small subunit ribosomal RNA", at positions 796 to 1041 of the family's 1533-position model. The record is from RNAcentral.
CACGCCCUAAACGAUGCAUACUAGGUGUGGGGAGAAUCGACCCUCUCCGUGCCGAAGCUAACGCGAUAAGUAUGCCGCCUGGGAAGUACGAUCGCAAGAUUAAAACUCAAAGGAAUAGACGGGGAUCCGCACAAGCGGUGGAGCAUGUGGUUUAAUUCGACGGUAAGCGAGGAACCUCACCAGGGUUUGAAAUCUAGCUGCAGAGUCCAGAAAUGGAAUGUCCUUCGAGGGUGCUAGACCAGGUGC